RNAcentral lists this ribosomal RNA (250 nucleotides) under uncultured bacterium. RNAcentral's name for it is "partial 16S ribosomal RNA". It matches the Rfam family "Bacterial small subunit ribosomal RNA", at positions 524 to 773 of the family's 1533-position model. The record is from RNAcentral.
UACAGAGGGUGCGAGCGUUGUUCGGAAUUAUUGGGCGUAAAGAGCGCGUAGGCGGUUUGCUAAGUCUGAUGUGAAAGCCCUCGGCUUAACCGAGGAAGUGCAUUGGAUACUGGCAGGCUUGAGUGUGAGAGAGGGUAGUGGAAUACCUGGUGUAGCGGUGAAAUGCGUAGAUAUCAGGUGGAACACCGGUGGCGAAGGCGGCUACCUGGAUCAUAACUGACGCUGAGGCGCGAAAGCAUGGGGAGCAAAC